Molecule: ribosomal RNA, 486 nt
Filed under: uncultured bacterium
Lineage: Bacteria
Description: partial 16S ribosomal RNA
Rfam family: Bacterial small subunit ribosomal RNA
Source: RNAcentral
GACGAACGCUGGCGGCGUGCUUAACACAUGCAAGUCGAACGGGAUCCAAAGGCUUUUUGUUUUUGGUGAGAGUGGCGAACGGGUGAGUAACACGUGAGUAACCUGCCCCCUUCUUUUGGAUAACCGCAUGAAAGUGUGGCUAAUACAGGAUAUUCCAGGCUGGUCGCAUGAUUGGUUUGGGAAAUGGUUUGGUCUGGUGGGGGAUGGGCUCGCGGCCUAUCAGCUUGUUGGUGGGGUGAUGGCCUACCAAGGCGGUGACGGGUAGCCGGCCUGAGAGGGUGGGCGGUCACACUGGGACGGAGAUACGGCCCAGACUCCUACGGGAGGCAGCAGUGGGGGAUUUUGCACAAUGGGCGCAAGCCUGAUGCAGCGACGCCGCGUGAGGGAUGAAGGCCUUCGGGUUGUAAACCUCUUUCGCUGGGUUGAAAGGCCAUGCUUUGGGUGUGGUUGAUUUGAACUGGUAAAGAAGUACCGGCUAACUACGUG